Molecule: ribosomal RNA, 543 nt
Filed under: uncultured Glomeromycotina
Lineage: Eukaryota; Fungi; Glomeromycota
Description: SSU rRNA
Rfam family: Eukaryotic small subunit ribosomal RNA
Source: RNAcentral
GCAAGUCUGGUGCCAGCAGCCGCGGUAAUUCCAGCUCCAAUAGCGUAUAUUAAAGUUGUUGCAGUUAAAAAGCUCGUAGUUGUAUUUCGGGAUCAAUAUUUCGGUCAUGCCGUUGGUAUGCACUGUUAUCAUUGAUUUCUCACCUUCUAAAGAACCAUAAUGCCAUUAAUUUGGUGUUACGGGGAAUUAGGACUGUUACCUUGAAAAAAUUAGAGUGUUUAAAGCAGGCUCACGCUUGAAUACAUUAGCAUGGAAUAAUGAAAUAGGACAUCCGAUUCUAUUUUGUUGGUUUCUAGGAUCGAUGUAAUGAUUAAUAGGGAUAGUUGGGGGCAUUAGUAUUCAAUUGUCAGAGGUGAAAUUCUUGGAUUUAUUGAAGACUAACUACUGCGAAAGCAUUUGCCAAGGAUGUUUUCAUUAAUCAAGAACGAAAGUUAGGGGAUCGAAGACGAUCAGAUACCGUCGUAGUCUUAACCAUAAACUAUGCCGACUAGGGAUCGGAUGAUGUUAAUUUUUUAAUGACUCAUUCGGCGCCUUACGGGAAAC